Long non-coding RNA from Coturnix japonica (Japanese quail), 611 nucleotides. Lineage: Eukaryota; Metazoa; Chordata; Aves; Galliformes; Phasianidae. The record is from Ensembl.
GAAGAGUUCAUACUUUUAGCAUGCAGAGUGAGAAUUCUUCAUCCUCCUGGCAACAAAACUGCCCACACAUCAUUUACAAGGGGAGAAGGUUCUUGAUUGCUGUGUAUCAGAAAACUGCAAUUUGAGGAAAGCAGUCCAUCUGCAAACUGCUGAGAGUCACAUCUUGUUUUAACCGAGCAUAAUAAAACAGCUGCUUUAUGACCAGACAUGACAAGAUAUGAAGAUACCAGGGUCAUCUCCACAGGCUGGAAUAAAAACAGAGAACUGUAUUCCAUUUCCAGUGCUCCCAGAGAAUCCUGGGCAGUCUUAUCCUUCACACAAAGCCUUCCUGAUGCAAAGUGAUGAAAAUGGUAAGAAAUGCCUCCCAGAGGAAGAGUUUGUUGCCUUCCUGUGGACCCAUGGUGCCUGUAACAGAUUUUUAAGCAGCAUCAGGUGCUGACUGUGCCAUAUGGGUGGUUCUAAAAAGAUGGCUCUGUGCUUCCAAUAGAGGUUUUCAGAAAAAUUUAGGACAAUUGUAAUCCUACCCAAAGCUAAUCCCAGAAAUUCACUUCAAAGAAAUUCAGUGCUUCAAAAAUAAGUUCAAAAAUAAAGCAUUGUGAUUCUGAGUAACA